RNAcentral lists this small RNA (29 nucleotides) under Bombyx mori (domestic silkworm). Its description in RNAcentral is "ovarian small RNA-9241". Lineage: Eukaryota; Metazoa; Arthropoda; Insecta; Lepidoptera; Bombycidae. The record is from RNAcentral.
UGUUUCGGGAUGUAGCGGUCGGCGCUCUA